UGCGUCAAAUUAAAUGUUCUGUAUAUACUUGAUCUGUCACGUGACAAGAAAUGAAAACACUAUACACACACAUAGCACUUGUAGCUAGCUAGUGAGAAACUGAGGCGUUUUUGGGGAGCAUGAGCUAUGGCUCUUUGGGCAGUGGAGGAUUUGAGUUUUGAUUUAGGAGAGCAUAAACUACUAAUAAUUACUUACCAAAAAUAUACUUGUAGAUAGGUUUGGUGGGAUUCACACAUUAAAACCCAUAAAGUCGCUUGGAUGAAAUUUCAAUGCUAAAUUGGUGAUCGAAUCACUUUUGGAGCAAAUAGACAAUCUCAUAUUCUCAGUUGUAUGUCUUACUUCUUGUUUGAUUUGGUCAUCUACAAAUUUCAAUGCACCUAGCACCUCACCCUAGCUGCGAACUUUAAUUUGGAGAUGUUAAGUUAAAACAAGUGAUCAGUUCUUCAUUUGAUGGGGGGAAAUUAACGAGCUUACACAUGUAAAAAUACGAGUAGAUGAUACGGGUUUUAGAAUAUUAACGUAUGCAACCAAUAAACUAAUAAUGGAUGAAAGCGCGUUCCUGAGUUAGUCUCACCACUUUCAUGUUUUCUUAGGUUUUACAAUUAAGAAUUAUCAUGAUCAACUCAUGUACAACUAAUUCUAGCAUUUUUCCAUACAAAUAGAUGUAAACUGCUUGCAUGAAAGUUUAAAAGGGAGCGAUUAAUUGAUCACCACUUUUCACCUUUUGUUUACUCUUGUUAAUUAAUUAUAGUGUUUGAUUUUUUUUUAAUUUGUUUAAUCCAAUUGCUUUAAAUAUUAACAUAUACUACUGAUGGUAGACGAUGGAUGGAUCAAAUCUUUGCUUGUUUACUAUUAGGGAUAAUAGUUGUGGGCAUAUUAUGUUAAAAGUGGCAAAAAUCUUUUACAGUGGUGGACAAACUGAAGUUUCCUUAAACGGAUCGAAGGAAAAUCAAUAGUGUCAGUAAAGAGUAAUGAAUAAGGGCCAAGCUCAGAUCGGAUAACAAGGAACAUCUAGCGUUUAGCGUAGACGAAUCUUAAUGUCAUUUUCUCGUUCAAUACAUGAGUGUAGGUGCAUGGACUUAUUGCACCAUUAAUAGCUAAGUCUCCAUCCUUUACUGCUAAUUAGUGCACAUUGUACCAACUCACUAGAAAAAUAAAAAAUUAUAACGUUUCUGUAAGUUUUUUCGGCCUCCGAAAGAAUGAAAUGAGGUAGCAUCGUCACCAACCGAUGCCUUUUAAAAAAAAAAUAAAGAAAAACUAUAAAGCUUUGUUAAACUUUUUCAUGCACAAUUAAAACGAUAUAGAACCCAAAUCCACGAUUUCAACUUUUAACAAUUGAAGAUUAUAAAAAUAUAUAAUAUGGUUAAAAGUCAAAAGUGCAGCUUCUUAUCAACAGCCCGAAUUUCUUUACAAAUGUCAACAACCAUUUAAUAUUUAUGCAACAAUUAAUUAUUUGAUUAAAGCACUAAGCAGAAUUUGUGAGUUCACUAAUUCUUCAAUCAUCACAAGAGCAAAUAUAUCGAUCGACUUGUCUCUGACUUUUUGAAUACAUUAUAUGUCACACUAAAUGAAUGAGACAAAGCUUGAUUAAGUGUCAUAGUUGUAUCCAGAAAAGCAAAUGCAUGAUAUCGUCGGUUACCAAAGCCUCACUCUGCCAAUUGAGUUUUCAAAUAUUUCCUCAUCCAAACAGUUGAACGUAGAUGCUUCUCCAAAGCCUGACUUGUUCAAGAUUAUGUGCAGCCUUAGGGUUUCUACGAUUGAAUUUUGUAAAUUUAGCUUUACGCAAUUAUCUCUUGUGUAAUCAGUUUGUUUUACAAGAGUUUGAUUCAACCUCAAACUCUUCCUUGUAAACUCUCUAUAUUGAUGAAUAUACACAAGGAAAUAUAACCAGCCAAAUUAUAUUCGAACUCAAAGUUUAUUUACGUUAACUCACCACCAUGAAUGCCAAUGUCAUUAGUCACUUAACUAGAGGCAAAAGCUUCUUAUGGCACAUAACAUACAUUCCACGAAGAACAAAACGAGGGGACCCAAAAGCUUGUUUGGCAUGGCCUCCUACAACUGCGUAAGUUUAUUAUAAUGAUUCACAAUCUUAUUUGUUAUAUAUGGAAUAUAACAUUCAUUCCACCAUGCAAAUACA
Molecule: long non-coding RNA, 2137 nt
Filed under: Malus domestica (apple)
Lineage: Eukaryota; Viridiplantae; Streptophyta; Magnoliopsida; Rosales; Rosaceae
Description: long non-coding RNA (MDOM_LNC018272)
Source: RNAcentral